GAACUCUUAGACUAAUAUUCAGUGGCAAGCAUAACCAAUUUGCAGGAGCACUCCCAACUGGGUCUAAUCUGCAAGCUUUUGUGAUUGAAUUCAUAAUCACUUUUUUCCUUAUCUUUAUCUUAUUUGGGGUUGCCACUGAUGAUCGAGCGGUACUAUUUCUUAUUCUUCCCAAUAACUUUUUAUCUUGCUAGUUAAUUUGAUAAUAAUUGGCUCGUAUUUUCUAUAAAAUUUUGACUUAAUUCUAAGAUGUUUAGCUAAUGCAAUUUGAUAGGAAAGUAGAGAUAAAGAAGCCAUGACAAUCAAACUCGAACCUGAAGAUAUCCCUAACCUCAAGUUUAACGGGAAAAUUCGCUUUGAUUAGAUUUUCCAUGACAGCUGAACCUAAAUCCUAAGAAACGAGGAUGAAGAUGCAUUUGGGGAUGCUAAUACUCAUCCAAACUUGCCAAUAUAAUAAUUAUAUAAUUUGAAUUAUAAAUGGUAAUUAAAUAAAAAUAUUUAACUUAUAUAUUUUGCUAAAAAUAUAAUUUAAUACUUAAAUAGAAGUUCUUAUAUUCUUAAGGUUUAUGAGGUCUAUUUUUAUAAAAAAAAUUGAAAGUUUUUACAAAUUAUUUGAACUAAAAUACUUUUGCGAUAUAAAUUAUAUAUAUAUAUAUAUAUAAAAGAUAAUAAGAUUAAAUAAAAAUUAAUAGGGCAUGGCUGCUUGCGAGUUUUCCAAAACCAGAGGAGGAUGAUGAGGUUGAGUUCCAUUUGAUUUAAUUUUAAAAUGAAUAAAAAGAGUUCAUGAGAUUUAUUUUUUAUUUUGAAUUUUAAGAAGUGAUGACAUGUCUUUUGCUAACGAGAUAUAGGGCAUGUUUGAUAACUGUUUCCAAAACAGUUUUCAGUUUUUAAAAACUGAAAACUUGUUUGGUAAGACCUGUUUUCAAAAACAGUUUUUGAAAACAGUUCUCAUUUUCAGUUUUUAAAACUAAAAAACCAAAACAGGUAAAAGAUGUUUUCAGUUUCAGUUUUUAGUUUUCUAUAUCAGUUUUCUAAAUGUUCGAAAACAUGUCAUUUAAAGUGUUUUCUUUUUCUGAAAAUUGUUUUUAAGAAUUGUUUCUGAAAACUAUUUUAAAAACUGAAAACUAAAACUGUUAUCAAACAGGCCCAUAAAUUUAUUCAAUUAAAGAGAUACUCCCUCCGUUCCUAUUUAUAAGUCCAUUUUACCCAAUUCUCUUAGAUUAAAAAAAGUAGUUACAAGUAAUAAAUUUGUAGUUAACCAAGUGGGUUGAUGUAGUGGUUCAGCACUUCAUCCUUUAAGCAAGUGGUUGGGGGUUCGAAUCCCAACUCGCCCCCUACCACUUAGUGCGCUGACCGUGGGGCGAGAGAUUAGUCUCACGGCUGUCGGCUGUCGAAUACCUUGGUCAAGACAAAAAAAAAGAGAUAAUAUUUAGAGAGAAAAUAGUUAUCUUGAUUUUUUGUGUGGUUACAUUGAAUUUUUUACUGGAUUAAAUUGAAAUUACAAUAAUUUUUUUGACAAUGUCUUUUUUUUAUAAAUGAUUAUUCAGUUAAUUAUUAGGAUUACAUUCAACAAUAAUUUUUUUUGAAAGAACAAUAAAUUCUUUUUAAUUAAAAUUAUGAAAGGAAUUAUUUUUCAGAAACCAAAUAUAUUGAUAAGAAGAAAGGAAUUGCGGCCAAAAGCAAAGUAAAAAAUUGAGAGAUCUAGCAAAAACAGACCCCGGUUUUAAAAAAGAAAAAAAAAACAGACCACCGAAGGGAAAAACUAAACAAAAAUUCCAACUAUUCAAAGGAAAACAAAGCACAAACCACAUUUGAGUAAAUGAUAGUUAUAUAUAGCCCCUUAAAAAUAUCAGAUCCAUCACUUUAGUCCUGAAUAUGAAAAAAAAAUAUUUUCCUCAUAAAGCACGAAAAUAUUGUCAAUGUAGCCCUUUUGCAACAUCAAUUUAGUGACAAAAAAUUGAAAUUUUUCUUUGAGGAACUAAAAUGACCGAUCCGAAAUAUUUCAUGAAUUAAAAUUAUGAUUCAUUUAAUAUAAAAAAGUUCAUUUCGGUGCCCUAAGAAAAAUUAUGGAUACGUCUAUGUAUACAAACAAAAUCCAUAUUUGCAUUAUUAAUUCAAAUACCCCAUUUGAUGGCUUUUAGCUGUUCAUUUCAUCUUUAAUCUUGCAGAUUGGUGAGGUUGCUGGGAUUGUGGUGGGAUCUACAGUGCUUUUGAAUGUGUUGUUUGCAGGGUAUUAAUUUACGAUUGAAAUUUCUUAUCUCUUUCUUUGUUCCACCAAUCAAUUAUGUUAUGUUAUUUAAAAAUUCACUCAUGUAAGAUUAUAAUUAUUAUACAUAUUGCCUACAUAGCACAAUUUAAUCAGUGAAACCAAACGAGGACAUAUACUACAUCAUGAUCUUAACUAUUUAUGUUUGUGUCAGAUUCUAAUAGCAAAGUUUCUCUUGUACUACAGGCCAAUAACUGGAGCAUCAAUGAACCCAGCAAGAAGCAUAGGGUCUGCUUUUGUACACAAUGAGUACAGAGGAAUAUGGAUAUACUUGCUAUCUCCAACUCUGGGGGCAGUGGCUGGUGCAUGGGUCUAUAACAUCGUUCGCUACACAGACAAGCCAUUGCGUGAGAUCACUAAAAAUGUCUCUUUUCUCAAAGGAAUAUGAGAGUCCUAAAAGCCUAGACGCCUAGUGGUUAUGGAUCACUAUGCCAAGAGAAACAUCAAACUUCUCUAAGAUUGGAAUAAUUUUAUCCAUCCUUAAGAUGCUAGUAGUUAUUAGUCGCAUUUCUACUUUAUGGUUGUUAGGAGAAUGUUGAGUUGCCAAUAUUCUUUUGGUGGCUUUGUUAUUCUGUUUGUUAUUUUGCAUAUGUUAUUUCCAUUUAGUUACUAUAUUGUAAGCCUUUAUAAAGUGAUGAAAGUAAUAUUGGAUAAAUGCAUUGAGCCAAUCUUAAAAUAAUUCAACUUCUCUCUUAAUUUUUGGAGGUACCCUCCUGGCCUCAUAUUCAGGAAAACCAAUUUUUGUUCCAUUCCCCUUAACUUGAUGUUUUCAUCUUUUGUUUAUUUGAUUUUUGUUGUUAUCAACGUUUCCAAAAGUGUUGAAUUUAAAAAUUGUCAUUAGAUAACUUGUUUUCUUAUUGAAUUUUCAUGUUUGAUUUGUGUGAUUGUUCCUUCAAAUUAUCAACAAAUAACUUGAGUUGUUUUUAACUUGAACACUACAAGAUAAAUUCAUUCAGGUGUAUUUUAAGUCUCAAACUGCUUAGCCCUUUUACUUAUAAACCACUGAAUUUGAAGAGUCCAAAAAAUGCCUCAAGUUGAUUGUAAUACAUUUAUUUAGUUCAUGUCUAAACUGAGACAAUAUUGUAUUUUUGUUUACAAAUAGAGCUCAUAUUAAUGCGUUUGAGAAUGUCCAAAUAAGUUUCACAAAUAGACAAUUAUGUUAAAGUUAGUUGUUUAGAAUUAGUUGUAUAGUGAAAGUCAAGUUGUAUAAAUAGGCUUUGAAGGUUAAUGAAUAAGUAAUUGAAAGUUUUCAAACGCAAGAAACUUUUCUAUUCUACUCUUUCUGUUAGUUUGUUUUUCACAAUUGGUAUCAGAGCUCCACACGGGGCCUGAUAUACCAAAGGAACCGCAGUUCUUGAAACAGAGGAGAGAGCCAUGGCUGAGAGUUCAAACUUCGCACAACCUGCAGUCCCAAAAUUCGAUGGGCAUUACGAUCACUGGGCACUGCUGAUGGAGAACCUGCUGCGAUCGAAAGAGUAUUGGCCAAUCGUUGCAGAUGGAGUCCCCGCACUCACACAAAACCCUACCCCAGAGCAGACCAAGAUUCAUGAAGAAGCAAAAUUGAAGGACCUUAAAGCCAAGAAUUACUUGUUCCAAUCGAUCGAUAGGAGCAUUCUGGAAACGAUCUUGAAUAAAGAUUCGUCUAAAGAAAUCUGGGAUUCAAUGCGAUUGAAGAACCAGGGCUCCACCAAGGUGAAAAGGGCGCAAUUGCAAGCCCUAAGACGGGAAUUUGAGAUUCUGGCAAUGAAGGAAGGGGAAACAGUUGAGAGUUACUUUGCAAGAACGCUGAGCAUUGUGAACAAGAUGAAGAUUCAGGGUGAGGUGAUCAAGGAAACUCUGGUUGUCGAAAAGAUUCUCCGAUCGAUGACAGAAAAAUUCAACUAUGUGGUGUGCUCUAUCGAAGAAUCCAACGAUGUAGACACAAUCACUAUAGAUCAACUUCAGAGUAGUCUUCUGGUUCAGGAGCAGCGAAUGAAGGGAUAUAGGGAGGAAGAACAAGCUCUGAAAGCCACAAGCUCAGGCAGAUCUGAAAGGGGUAGAGGAAGGAAUGGAAAUCGUGGUCGCGGCAGGGGUAGAGGAUCUUUCAACAAAGAAUCUGUGGAAUGCUACAAAUGUCACAAAUUGGGCCAUUUUCAGUAUGAAUGUCCAACUUGGGAGGAGAGCGCCAACUAUGCAGAAUUGAUUGAAGAUCAUGAAGAACUGUUGCUCAUGGCAAGAACAGUGACAACUGGGAAAUUGAAAAUCCUUGAUUCAGCAGCAAAGUUGAAGGAAGAAUGUGAGGAUUUGAUGCUAAUGGCAAGAACAGAGCAUGAAGAAAUGGCUGGAAAAGUGUGGUUUCUUGACUCAGGGUGCAGUAACCACAUGUGUGGCUCGAAAGCAUGGUUUCACAAGUUGAAUGAAGACUUCACAACCACUGUGAAACUGGGUGAUGAUUCCAUUAUGACUGUGAAAGGAAAAGGAGAGGUGAAGCUUCAAAUUGGUGGCCUGACCCAGGUAAUCACAGAGGUAUACUAUAUACCUGAAUUGAAAAAUAAUCUCUUGAGCAUAGGGCAAUUGCUAGAAAGGGGAUUGAACAUCUCCUUCAAGAAGAGAUGGUGUAGGAUCUAUCAUAAAGAAAAGGGUCUCAUCAUGCAAUCAAGGAUGUCUUCUAAUCGAAUGUUUGCAGUGAUUGCAACUGUUUUGAUUCCAAGGUGUCUUAGUACCUCUGCCAUGGAUGAAACUGAAAUGUGGCACAAGAGAUAUGGUCAUCUAGGGUAUUCUGGCUUGAAGACUCUAGUACAGAAGACUAUGGUUAAAGGGUUACCUAUGCUAAAUGAACCAGAGAAACCUUGUGAAGAAUGCAUGAAAGGGAAGCAACAUAGAGACUCCUUCCCUCAGAAAAGCACUUGGAGAGCCUCUCAGAAGCUUCAACUUGUACAUUCAGAUAUCUGUGGACCAAUCAAGCCUGAAUCACACAGUCAAAAGAGGUACUUCAUCACUUUCAUAGAUGAUUUCUGCAGAAAAACUUGGGUUUAUUUCUUAAGUGAAAAAUCCAGUGCAUUAGAAAGCUUCAAGAGAUUCAAGAUUUUAGCUGAAAAAGAGAGUGGAGAAAAAUUGUGUUGUUUAAGAACUGAUAGAGGGGGAGAGUUUAAUUCUAAGGAAUUUGAGGAAUUCUGUGAAGUUAAUGGCAUCAAAAGGCAACUCACAGCAGCUUAUACUCCUCAGCAGAAUGGAGUAUCAGAGAGGAAGAAUAGGACAAUCAUGAACAUGGUGAGGUGUAUGCUUACUGAGAAGCAAGUUCCCAGGGAAUUCUGGCCAGAGGCAGUUAACUGGGCUGUCUAUAUACAGAAUAGAAGUCCUACCAUAGCAGUGAAGAACAUCACACCUAAGGAAUGUUGGAGUGGAAGCAAGCCAUCAGUGCAAUUUUUCAGGAUUUUUGGGUGUGUAGCCCAUGCUCAUAUACCUGAUAGUCAAAGGAAAAAGCUUGAUGAUAGGAGUGUGAAAUGCAUUCAUUUGGGAAUCAGUGAAGAGUCCAAGGCUUAUAGGCUAUAUGAUCCAGUGUUAAAGAAGAUUCUGAUCAGUAGAGAUGUGGUGUUUGAUGAAUCAAGUGGCUGGGAUUGGCAGUCAGGAACAAAAAGGGUGGAGUUGCUUGAGAAUCUUGGUGAAAAAGAUGAUGAAGAAGUUGUUGACACAACUGAGAAUCCUACUGCAUCUACAACAAGUGAGAUAGAGCUGCAUGCUAAUCCAAGUUCAAAUGACAAUCUCUCUGAACAGGUGGACAAUUAUGGAGCCUCAGGCAGUACAGCACCUAGAGUGUUUGAAGAGGAGAGGGAAAGAAGAGGCAAGAGAAGUGUUGUACAACCCGUAUGGAUGAAAGAGUUUGUGUCUGGAGAAGAUCUGAGUGAUGAAGGACACAGUAAUUUUGCUCUCACUGAUGAGCUCCAGGGUGAAGAGUUCAGCUUUCUUUCCAUUGCUUCAGAUCCUAUGACAUUUGAUGUAGCAGCUAAGAGUGAACACUGGAGAAAAGCUAUGGAUCUGGAAAUACAGGCUAUUGAAAAAAAUAACACUUGGGAGCUGGCAGUACUUCCUAAAGGAGUGAAAAGUAUUGGAGUUAAGUGGGUUUAUAAGACAAAGCUGAAUGAAAAAGGUGAGAUUGAGAAGCAUAAGGCCAGGUUGGUGGCUAAGGGAUAUGCACAACAACAAGGGGUGGAUUUUACUGAGGUAUUUGCACCUGUUGCUAGGUGGGAUACUAUAAGAACCAUUCUUGCUUUGGCUGCUAUCAGAGGCUGGACAAUAUUCCAAUUAGAUGUUAAAAGUGCAUUUUUGCAUGGAGAACUUGAUGAGACAGUGUUUGUUGAUCAACCUCAGGGGUAUCAAGUCAAAGGUGCUGAGAGUAAGGUCUAUAAGCUUCACAAAGCUCUUUAUGGACUGAGGCAAGCCCCUAGAGCAUGGUAUAGUAAAAUUGAUGCCUACUUCCAGAAACAAAAGUUUGUAAGGUCAGAGGCAGAUCAUACACUAUAUGUCAAGCAAGGGAAGAAUAAUCUGGUGAUUAUUGUUAGUCUGUAUGUUGAUGAUUUGAUCUACACUGGAAACUGUGAGCUGAUGAUCAGUGAGUUUAAGUCAUCCAUGGAGAAGGAAUUUGAUAUGAGUGACUUAGGCAGAAUGAGCUAUUUCCUGGGUGUUGAGAUCUUGCAGAACACAGAAGGUAUCUUCAUGUGUCAAAGUAAGUAUGCUAGAGAGGUUCUUAAGAGGUUUGGCAUGGAGAAUAGUAACCCUGUUAAAAACCCUGUGGUUCCAGGAACUAAGUUGGAUAAAAAGGGUGGUGGAGCUGAAGUUGAUGCUACUCAGUAUAAGCAAAUGAUUGGAAGUUUGAUGUACUUAACUGUGAGCAGACCUGAUCUGAUGUAUGCUGUCAGCCUUGUGAGUAGAUACAUGGAGAAGCCAACAGAUGUACAUUUGCAAAGUGUUAAGAGGGUGAUGAGAUAUUUGAGUGGCUCAGUUGAUAUGGGAAUUCAGUAUAAAAGAGCUGGAAACAGGGAAUUGGUCUCUUAUACUGACAGUGAUUAUGCUGGAGAUAUCGAUGACAGGAAAAGUACUUCUGGAUAUGUCUUCAUGCUUGGCUCAGGAUCUGUGGCUUGGUCUUCAAAGAAGCAAGCAGUUGUUAGUCUCUCAACAACUGAGGCUGAGUUUAUUGCUGCAGUUGCAUGUGCUUGUCAAUGUAUUUGGCUUAGAAGAAUUCUUUUCUCACUUGGUCAUGUUCAGGACAAGUGCUCAAUCAUACACUGUGAUAAUAGCUCAACUAUUAAGCUGUCAAAGAAUCCUGUUAUGCAUGGAAGAAGCAAGCAUAUUGAUGUACGCUAUCAUUUUCUGAGAGAUUUGGUUCAAGAAGGAAGAAUAGAGCUAGCUUACUGCAGCACUAAUGAACAGCUGUCAGAUAUUAUGACCAAACCUUUGAAGGUUGAGUUGUUUGAGAAACUGAGAUCACAGUUGGGUGUGUGUAAGAUCAAUAGGAUAAACUGAAUUGCAUGUUGCAAGUUCAGUUUAAGGGAGGGUGUUAAAGUUAGUUGUUUAGAAUUAGUUGUAUAGUGAAAGUCAAGUUGUAUAAAUAGGCUUUGAAGGUUAAUGAAUAAGUAAUUGAAAGUUUUCAAACGCAAGAAACUUUUCUAUUCUACUCUUUCUGUUAGUUUGUUUUUCACAAAUUAUUAUUAUUAUUUUGGUCCAAUUUUCUUUUUUUUGAAGUCUGGUCCAAAAUUAUUGUUUUGACUAAAUUAAACUAUUUAUAUCCCCCCACGUCUAUAGUCUUCAUUCCUCACCAACCUCAUCAAUCUUUAUAUGAAGAGAUCACAUCAACCCCUUCUUCCACGAGCUAAAACAUCAUAUAUUCCAGCAACCUCGAAAGAUCAAAUUCUUCAAUAUUAAAAAAUACUAUACAUCCAAUUAAUCCAGGAACAUAGUUAAAUACUAUAUAUAGAGGUGUUCGGUCGAAAAGACACAUGUGCUGCAUGUGGUCCAAUCUUCUUUCUUUCCCAUCUCAAAGAAACUAAAUUUCCCUGUCCUUUUAUUUCCUUGUAAUUCUGUGGGUGAUGGAUCAAGAUUCAGCAUCAAAUGGAGCCCAUGAGACAGUUUUAAAUGUAAGCAAGGAUGUCUCUAACACUACUGAAGUCUCAGACACCUCUUUCACUGUUUCUUUCUUGCAAAAGGUGACUCCUAAGUCCUAAUCUUUCUUUUCAAUUCCUCUGUUUGCAAACUCAUAUGGGAUUUGAUUUGAUGAAUAGACAGUUGUCUCUUCUAGAAUCUGAUCAGAAGCUUAUGUGAGUAGUUUCUGAAUGACAGAAUUGACACGUAGUAAAAAAACUGAUACAAAAAGCUAUGGAACUUGUGGUACAGUACAUUCAGAGUCUAUAGAGCUAGUUUAGUCACGGACCAAAAAACACUCGUAUUUAUCUAGUGUUUUUUUAUAAUGGAGAAGUUCCAAUAAUAUGUGCUUUUUAGUGUGUAUCCAAAUAGGCUCAUAUUGUUAGAGAUGAAUAGGCACAUAUAAUAUUAAAGUAUCUUUCUGAACUAAUCUAUUGAUCAGAUUGAACUUGAAAAAUUGAUUAGAAAUGGCAAUUUGAAUUUGAGUCUGUUUGUUUUUAUGAGUGCAGAUAGUAGCUGAGGUGGUGGGAACAUAUUUUAUGAUAUUUGCUGGUUGUGCUUCAGUGGUAGUGAACAAGAACAAUGACAAUGUGGUUACACUUCCUGGGAUUUCAAUUGUUUGGGGACUGGCUGUGAUGGUGCUGGUUUACUCUGUUGGCCACAUUUCUGGUGCCCAUUUCAAUCCUGCUGUCACCAUUGCUUUUGCCACCAACAGAAGGUUUCCAUGGAAGCAGGUGAGCCAAACUCAACACUUUUUCUUCUGAGAUUCAUUAUUUGGUAAAACUAGAUAGGAAAUUAGGGGUCAAACUAGUUUAUCAUCUAUAGCCAACUUUGUUUGAAUUAGAUGUAGACUUCUUGGCCCUUUCACACUGUAAUAUUUAAAAUUUGUUUUUGUCUGAAACAACAAGUUAUUGCACAUUUAAUAAAAUAAUGGAAUUAGAGAGAGCAUGUUCCUCUAUUAGUCUAUUCAAUUGUCUCCAUCUGUCUUUGAAAUUAUUGGCACCACCAUGGUGGUAUAGGCAUAUUUGAAAAUUGAAAAGUCAUCUGCAACCUGAUUUCAAAAUUAAUUAAAAUCAAUUCUAGAGAGAAGCUUGAUGAGUAGUUUCAAAAUGCUGAAUUGAUUACGAAGAAAGGGAAGCUGAUUCGAAUGUUAAUAAUUGUUCUCCUUGUAGGUACCUACUUAUAUAGCAGCUCAGGUUCUUGGAUCCACACUUGCAACUGGAACUCUCAGGCUAAUAUUCAAUGGCAAGCAUAAUCAGUUUACAGGAACACUCCCAGCUGGGUCUAACUUACAAGCUUUUGUGAUUGAAUUCAUAAUCACUUUUUACCUUAUGUUCAUCAUAUCUGGGGUGGCCACUGAUAAUCGAGCAGUAAUGUUUCUUUUGCAUCCAAAAAUUCCAUUCUGCUGUUUGUUUGGUUAUAAGUAGCUCUUAUUUUACAUAAAAUAUUUUGAUUUAAAAUUCCAAUGAAUUGGGGUUGGCCAAUAAUCACCACACCAAUCUAUGAUUGAAAAGUAAAUGUGAUGCAAUGUAAUAGAAAAAGAGAGAAAAAGAAGAAAAAAAAUGUUGAAUAAGAUGUGGAAGUAUUGUAAGUGUUUAAAAGGAUAGGAUUUGACAUUAAAAAAGUGCAUGAAUUGACUAGUUGUCUAGACAUAGUUGUACCCUUUUGAAAUAUGUGGAAGAUGUCUAAAAAGUUUACGUAAUAAGACACAUCUUGUACCAACAAAAUCUAUAUUUGAAAAUUGGUAAAUCAAAGACCCCAUUUGAUGACUUUUAGCUCUUCAUUUUGUUUUUUUUAUCUUGCAGAUUG
This 10186-nucleotide long non-coding RNA is filed under the name Lotus japonicus. RNAcentral's name for it is "long non-coding RNA (LJAP_LNC001919)". Lineage: Eukaryota; Viridiplantae; Streptophyta; Magnoliopsida; Fabales; Fabaceae. The record is from RNAcentral.